RNAcentral lists this ribosomal RNA (590 nucleotides) under Carabus lusitanicus breuningi. Its description in RNAcentral is "partial large subunit ribosomal RNA". It matches the Rfam family "Bacterial large subunit ribosomal RNA", at positions 1921 to 2748 of the family's 2925-position model. Lineage: Eukaryota; Metazoa; Arthropoda; Insecta; Coleoptera; Carabidae. The record is from RNAcentral.
UUUUAAAUGGCCGCAGUAUUUUGACUGUGCAAAGGUAGCAUAAUCAUUAGUUUUUUAAUUAAAAGCUUGUAUGAAAGGCUGGACGAGGUAAAAUCUGUCUCUAUUUAAAUUAUAGUAGAAUUUAACUUUUAAGUUAAAAGGCUUAAAUAUUAUUAAAAGACGAGAAGACCCUAUAGAUCUUUAUAGUUUAUUAAAUUAAAUUAAUUUAGAAAUAUUAAUGUUUUAUUUAAUUAAAUUAUUUUAUUGGGGUAAUAAAAAGAUUGAAUUAAUUCUUUUUUACAAUAAACAUUAAUUUAUGAAUAUUAAUGAUCCAGUUUUACUGAUUAUAAGAUUAAGUUACCUUAGGGAUAACAGCGUAAUUUUUUUAGAGAGUUCAUAUCGAUAAAAAAGUUUGCGACCUCGAUGUUGGAUUAAAGAUUAUUUUAGGUGUAGAAGCUUAAUAAUUUUGGUCUGUUCGACCAUUAAAUCUUUACAUGAUCUGAGUUCAGACCGGCGUAAGCCAGGUCGGUUUCUAUCUUUAAUAAAAUAAAAUAUUUUAGUACGAAAGGACCAAAUAUUUGAUAUAUUUAUAUUUAAUUUAUUGAAUAUUA